RNAcentral lists this long non-coding RNA (5016 nucleotides) under Cricetulus griseus (Chinese hamster). RNAcentral's name for it is "lncRNA (ENSCGRG00015039652.1)". Lineage: Eukaryota; Metazoa; Chordata; Mammalia; Rodentia; Cricetidae. The record is from RNAcentral.
GAACUGAGCACAACCUUUAUAUAGAUCAGAGGGCUUGGAAACCCGCCUGGCUGUCCUGGUUCCAAGUUCCUCAGUGAAGGGGCUGCAGGCAGGUCAGGCCACAGCUGUCAUUGGCAUCUGGGUCUCACACAGAGGACAAUGCCCUGGAACUCCAGGCAUGCCACGACAGCUGCCCGAGGGUAUCUGAAGGGCGCUGUGAAAGGAGAACCUCCUUAGAUUUUGUCCCCAGCCAGCCAGUCAGCCCAGGCUGAAAACAUGAUGGGAGAAAAAGCCACCAACAGUGGCUCCCAGUGGGACCUCUGCUCCAGAGUGGGGACAGUGGGGACAGCUGGAUCCCAGGCCAAAGGGAAGCGCACAGAGAGAAACCCCAACAACCUGGGUCAAAAUUCAGCAUUGCCCAAGGCAAAGGCUCUGGCUGUGAGGCGGACCGCAAGGAUCCUCUCUGACCCUCAGGUUUUUUUCAUAUGAGAAAUGGACCUGAUGUAGACAUCUGCUUUAUGGUGUGGUUUGGAUAGGGAGGAAUCUGGUCAGUGCCUGGCAUUCCGGGAGAGGUGGGACAAGCUGGUGACAAGCACUUGUUGUCACUGGGACCUCAGUGCAGGAAAAUCGCCGCACAGAGGCUGGGAAUGCCACAGUGUGAAGCCCUCAUCCAGUCCUGAGGACCCAUACCAUCUUCUCUAGAGCCGAGGGCAUGUCCAUUUGAACUCAGCUGGCUCAGAGCAUCUGCCUCAAGUGUUGAGUGUCUGUGGCCUGGAGCAGGAAGAGGAGCCAGGAAGGCAGAAAACAAUAAUCUCAAUUUCUCUCUAUCCCAUCCCCACCGUGUGUGUGUGUGUGUGUGUGUGUGUGUGUGUGUGUGUGUCUGUCUGUCUGUCUGUCUGUCUGUCUGUCUGUCUGUCUGUCUGUCCUCCCACUCCUGGAUCUUCACAGGCCAACUGCAGCCAUAGCACAUAGUAGAGAUGCCAAGGUCUGGUCUGGUGAAGUCAUCUGGCCCGGGGGGCCCCCCGGAAAACUGACCUGGAACCCCAGCCUUCAAUGAUUGAAGCACUCCGGUGGAUCAAAGUCAAUCGCUAAGUGACCUUAACUGUCAGGCUAAGGAGGGGAGGGUCAUCCGAGCGGGACACAGGGGAAAGAGUUGGAAUAGGAGUGUGUGAAGGGUGGGGGGUAGGGUGGUGAGAGAGAGGAGACCCCAGAGUAUUGGGAGCUACUGCCAUAGGCAAGACCUGGGGCAGAAUUAGAAGGAACUAUAUUUCAAACAUCAGAGGGCAAAAUAGAAAACAAGGGUUGAAUCAAGAUGGCGGGGGCUUUGGGUCUGGAAAUCCAGGGAAUGGGAGAGUUAGAAAUGAAAAGAGUUGGGGGAUAAAGAGGUUCGAGAAAGACUUCGCACUGUGGUGGUCCACCCAGUGUUGUGUGUAAGCUGAGUUGUCUGAACAUGACUGUGCCCAGGAGCAUUCUAGAAUGUUGAAGGUAGUUCCAUGUGUCCAUUUUCUAGAGGUAACUGAAGCAUAGGGCUGUGGUGCCUGGCAGAGCAGUGCUCAGAGACCAGUGGCCCCCAGGAGGCCCUCCCUGCCCGCCACCCCCUAGUUGGAGAGGUUGCUUCCCCAGGGAUGGCUGUCACCAGCACCUUUGGAGUCUUGACAGAAGGAGAUAAGCUAUCCUUGGUGACAGCAGCCAUCAGCCACAGCUCUAAGCUGACUGGGCCUUCUUUCUAUAAAGACUCGGACUUCAUCACCCUCCUUAAAGAGCCCAGCACCCAAGGCAGGUUGGCCAUGGUGAGGCCACUUCCGGAAGAGACCAGCAAGCCAUGGUAGGUACCUCCCCUCACCUGGCUCUGCCUUUCAUUUGAAUAGACCAGCCCUCACUCUCCUGUUGCUCACUCUGGGCUCAUUGGCUCUGCUGAGAAGUUUCAAAACCAGCCAUGUCGGCAAGGGACAAGGUACCUCGCUGCUGACAGCUGGGCCACACAGCUUGGACUCCAUUCUGGCAGCUGGCAUGGAAUAGGCACCUGCAGAGAAGAUGAGUUCAAAUCUGCCCCAAGCUGGGAAUGGUGGUCCAGGUCUGUGAUCCCAAUACUCAGAAGGCUGCGGUAGGAGGACCACAAGUUCAAGGCCAGCCUGGACUACAUAGUGAGAAUCUGUCUCAGACAGAUAAAAGGCAUAAAUUAUGUAGGGCAAUGAUGGCUCACGGCUUUAAUCCCAGCACUCGAGAAGCAGAGGCAGGCAUCUCUGUGAGUUUGAGGUCAACCUGGUCUCCAGAUCGAGUUCCAGGAAAGGCUCCAAAGCCACAGAGAAACCCUGUCUUGAAAAAAAAAAAAAGGCAUAAAACACUCCUGCAACCCAGGCAAGACUGAUCACUUUAACAGGAAUCCUGUUUCAGCCUUUGUUUUCCUUUUAAAGAUUUGUUUUAGUCUUUUUAAGUAUGUGUGUGUAUGCCUGUGCGUGGCUAUGCCCAUGUGAGCGCAUUGCUCUGGGAGACCAGAAGGGGGUGACAAAUUCCUAUCGCUAUAGUUACAUCUGUGGAUGAUGGGAAUCAAACUCAGCUCCUUUAGAAGAGUAGUCUUAACAUCCAAGUUCUCUCUCCAGCCCUUAUUUUUUUGUUUAUUUUUUGACAGAGCUAUGAGCUCCAGCCCCAAUCUUCCCUUACUGUUCCUAUUCUGCCUCCCUGGCUUCACACAUCUCUGACUCCAGUGCUGGUUCACUCCUUCCUUCAGAAACAAAAGUGUUACUUUAACAGGUCCCCGGCAGUGGUGAGCUCCAUGCAGGGCCUGAGGCCAGUAAAACGAGUACCCUCCUUCUGUGGCUAUCUUCAAGAGCACUGUGAGCCCAGGUGGAGGUAUCAAGUCCCGGUUCAGAUGGAGGCCUUGACAGUGGGUCUCCGUAGUGCCCACAGCCUGUGGGAGAAGGACCCUCCACUUCCAAGCUUGCCCCCACCAUCAGACCAAUUCCCAGGCCUGGAAGGAAAGUUAACAGGCUCUUCACUCCAGCAGGAGUCCCCGGGUCAACACCUACAAAAUAACCACACCCACAAAAAUAAUCUGCUUUUGUCCUCCUGACAACCCCAAGAGGGUAACGUCAUUAUCAUGCCCAUUCUACAGGUGAGCAAACUGAGGCUCAGAGAGGACAAAAAACCUACCCCGUGUCACACAGCUGCUCAGUGCCCAAGCAAGGAAAACCAAAGAAGCCCAGACAUUCCCAAGUGGGCUGAGUUGCUUCUCCAGGCCACAUCUUUCUGCCAGGGAUUGUGUCAGAUGUCUCUGUGAUUCCUCGAACUGCAGAGUCUGGUGUAUUUUGCACUUGUCCUGAGCUGUGUCCUCUCGGCUGUAUGGCACACACUGACGUCCCCACAACCAGAACCACCAUGAGUACAUCAUUUUGUGCCAAGGAAACAUUUUGUUUUUUGGUUUUUGAAACAGGGUUUCUUUGUUUAGCCCUGGUUGUCCCAAACUCACUCUGUAGACCAUGCUGGCUUGGAACUCACAGAUAUCCACCUGCCUCUGCCUCCUGAGUGCUGGGAUUAAAGGCGUGCACCACCAACACCGGCUCAAAACAUUUUUUUCCAGCCUAGUAUCGGGAUUAAAGCUGGAACUAGCGGGUCCUGUAACCCACUUCUCCACCUUUAGUACAGAGGCAAAGACUUGGCUUCAUCUGGUCACUUCUGAGUUUUAUGUGAAUUUCCCUGAGGUUUGGCAUUGGGGUUAUUUGGUUUGAUUCUUUGCUUCAUUAGAGGAAUAAAUCAAAACUUAGGCUUUUAAAAGCAAAGGUAUUUAAUGGAUCAACUCAGCACCUAGGAGACGAAGACAGGAAGAUCAGGAAGUCAAGGUCAUCUCUGCUACACAAUCGCAGCCUGGGCUAUGUGAGAUACAACAUAAAAUACAAAAAAACAAAAACAAAACAGAAAAUACAUGGUAUUCCUUCCUACUGUGUUAUACUGAAAACAGUUGGGCACACAUCCCUAUUAUACUCUGAAAAGUUGGGCACACAACCUGAGAUUCUCAAAGUUCAUCUCUGCUGAGUGCUGAGUUAAUUAUCGGUGUUACUAUAACACAGCACCAGAGGCUGGAUCGUUUGCAAACACAAGCGAUUUAUUGCUCCAAAGGCUGGAGGCUGCUGAGGGCAGAGAGUUUACUAGUCUCUUUUCCUCUUACUAAGUCACUAAUCCCACCUGAGGCUCGGGGGUUGGGGGGGCAUCCUUGUUACCUCAUCUAAUCUCAGUCACACCUCACAGACACCCCCCCCCGGGCACUGCCAAAUGUGGACUUGGGGACUAAACUCCCAAUCCAGGAGCUUCAGGGAGAAACAUCUAAACCCCAGUGUCCCCUGACUCCAGGAGUACACCAGAUCCAGCACACAGUAGGGCUCCAAUAAAUACUUAAGUCCUUAAAGUAGGGAUAAAAUCAUUUUUGUGUUUAUAAAUGACCUACAUUUUCUUCUCGUCUCUUAAAACUGUCAAUGGGUUAUUAUUUUUGUGUACACACACACACACACACACACACACACACAGGCACUCGUGCGCGCGCCUGCAGUGUGCACACGUAUGCACUCGUAUGUGUGCUCACACGCAGGUUCAGGUACUUAUGGGUUUCAGGUGACCCUGCUCGGACACCUCUUGGGGAAGGGGGUGAGAAAAUGCAGCACCAACAACUCAGGCACUGGGAGUCAGUGAGUAGCAGAGCAGGCUGCACACUUCCUUUAUUAAGAAGGUAGGCCUGGGCUGCAGAGAUGGCUCAGAGGCACCAACUGCUCUUCCAGAGGUCCUGAGUUCAAUUCCCAGCAACCACAUGGUGGCUCACAACCAUCCGUUAUGAGAUCUGGUGCCCUCUUCUGGUGUGCAGAUAUACAUGGAAGCAGAAUACUGUAUACAUAAUAAAUAAAUAAAAUCUAAAAAAUAAAACAUUACUAAAAUAAAAAUAUAUUAAAAAAAAAAAAGGUAGGCCUGCCUCUAUACACCCUCUCCAGGUCCUAUUGGCUCAGACGGCUGACUCUGCUGCGCUGUCCUUUUCUUAUUGGUGUCUCUGGGUCA